Molecule: ribosomal RNA, 120 nt
Filed under: Buttiauxella agrestis
Lineage: Bacteria; Pseudomonadati; Pseudomonadota; Gammaproteobacteria; Enterobacterales; Enterobacteriaceae
Also listed under: 1 other name
Source: RNAcentral
UGCCUGGCGGCAGUAGCGCGGUGGUCCCACCUGACCCCAUGCCGAACUCAGAAGUGAAACGCCGUAGCGCCGAUGGUAGUGUGGGGUCUCCCCAUGCGAGAGUAGGGAACUGCCAGGCUU